CGCACGGCCGCGCCCCUCCCUCCCCCCUCAGCCAUCUCAGCCGCCACCCCCACUAACCCUAGCCGCGCCCUUCUUCCAUCCGUCCUCCUCCCCCUCCCUGGUAUGAGUCAUCCGUCCCCUAUCUCAGGCCGCCCCGAGCUCCUCCUCGUCCUCCAUCCUCACACUCUCCACCCCGAGCACGCCGGAGCAGUUCAGCCAGUACAGAACCCCUCUAUGCAAGAGGAACCCCGUGGCCAUCCGUGCGAGAGCUCGGCCUCGAUGGGGAAAUCAGCGGAGUUGGUGCAGCGGCAAAUGCGGGCGAGGUCGGCCAUGGAGGGAGGCUUGCUAACCGGAGCAGUAGGAGCAAGGAGGUCGAGGUGGUUUAGGUUUGCCUUUAUCUCCCCCCUCUUUGUCUCAUGGUUGAUGUUGUUGGUGCAGGCAGGAUCGAGCACACGCCAUAACAGCAGGAACGAGGAGCUGGAAUUGGUUCAUGGUUUUUCUUUAGUUCCUCUCUUUCUCUCUCUCUCUCUCUCUCUGUGUGUGUGUGUGUGCAUACGUGGGUCUUUUUGUCCAUAUAUACUGAACCAUGGAGUUGUUUAGAUGUUUGUCUUUUUGUUCAUGUUCUUCUUUUUGUCUGUGUAGAUAUUUGAUUGUAUUGGUAUGUUCUAAGGCUGGUGGGUAGCUAAGCUUAGGCUGAGUCCUCAUGUUCUAUGUGGAUAACAUACAAAAAUAUAAAUCCUAAUUUCUGAAAAUAGAAUGAAUCAUGUAUAUAUCUGUAGGGCAAGACAAGCACGUUAGUUGGAUCUAGCGUAUUGAGAUUGCAGAGGACUCAACACAGGGUUUGUACUUAUAUUCUAUAAAUUCAGUGUCAGGUUUUUGCCUCUGCUUAGUGAUUAUAUAGUACCGCCUUUUGAACUUGCAAAAACUGAAUGCAUAUAAGAAUCAAGGACCUUCACAGUGGAUAUGAUUUUGGUCAUCCACCAAGUCAUCAAGUUGAACACAUCAUCUUGGACAAGCAGAUGCGAAUUUCUGCUAGGUAUGCUUCUUCGAUUGUCUCUGCCAUCAACUCUCUCAACUCCCCAAGCAUUAACCCCGUCUGAUUGUUCAUAUAUUUUAUUUUUGUUUUGCAUUUACCAAUGCAUUUCUUGGCAUGUUUUGGUGCGUUCCUUCCUACGGCCAGCUCGACCAUUUGCUCCGUAGGGCAAAAGGAGCAAAUAAUAUGAGAAUGCAUUAGUCUUCUCUGCAAUUUGUUGUUCUGGUCAAUCUUUCUUGUUUUUCUACAUUUUUUUCUGCUCUUUGGUAAUGCAUUUGGAUUGUGUCUCUCUCUCAAUCUUGGGCAUAUUGGUUGUAUGGUUGACUUUUUUAGUAGCAGGGAGGUAACUAAGUAGUUCACAGGACAAGCAGUUGUAAACUUUGAUCAUUUUAUUUGUAGAGUAUAUUUUAGUGAGUAAUUCUAGGUUUUAGCUUUUUGGUAGAGAAUGUAUAGUUUUGGGAUCUAUGAUAUUAGUUAUGAGAGGAUGGUAAUCAUAUGGAUAUUGUGAUGUGAGUUAUUGGCCUCAGAAAUCGCAUUAUAUGGUUUAUUGGCCUAAUAAGCUCUCUUUGGCUGUAAAACUAAUAAGCAUGUCCAAAGGAUGGUUUUGUUUUGUUAGUUUCAUGAAAACGGUAGGAGUUUAAAUAGCAUCGAUGCUUAGUACAGAGUGAGAUUAACAAAACACUGAAUUGAAGAUCGGUUUUUCUCUUAUUUUGUCUACUCUCUGCCUCGAGAUAAGUGUGGAUUCAAUGGAUACUAACUCUGGCUGUUCGGCUAAAAAUUGGGUGCUUACAUACUCGUCGAAAUUUAGUUCUGUAAAAGAGAAAUAUUGUUAUCAUGCAAUGAUCAGUGCAGUGUAGGAUUACUACAGAGUUCUUCCUCCCUUUUCAUUGAGCAUGUUCUUUAAUUAGGUUGCAAUUGUGAAACUUGUUUUGGUUUUUUUAUUGUAUAAUAUGAAGCUUCCAAAUGGUUUGAUCAUGAAAAUAAGUUACCAAAUUUCUGUGUGCAGUGAGCUGGGAGCCAGGGUCAUAUGUGGUGUCCUUCCCUGAAUGAGCACUAUUGAGUUAUCUGCUUCCCUUGAUUAACCCUUCAUUUAGAACUACAAGACAAAGCUUGAAAAAAUUGGCCUGUUGUCUUCCUGUUCACAUAAAUCUGCAACCUGGGUGUUACUAAUGUUUCCUCAACCAACUUAUAGUCACUUUUAACUGACAAGUGUAUCAUAACAGGUAUUCUGAUCUAUCUUUUUUGUUAGUUGCAGGUUCAGAAGCGUAGUAAUGAUAUUUGCUAACAGCUAUAUGAAAAGGAGCUGUUAAUAGGUAAAUCCUACCUCCACAUAUACAGUUUGUAGGAGUUUGGAGUACUCUGCGCACCUACCUGUAGCGUGCCAUCACAACCACUUGCACAACAAGAGGUUUGCGCGCCACAUGUAAACUUCCUCUCCUUCCUCCCAGUCUCUAGCCACCCAUUGAGGGCUGGCACAUCAUGCCAAGGUGGGUUUCUCUGGAUCGUUCUCCAUCCGCUUCCAGAUCUCUAAUACUCUUAUCUUUCCGCCUAUCUAUGCAAGUGUUGUGGUUCCUUUCUCAUCCUUUUCUUAAAUAAACCUCUAAUUGAGGAGAGCAUCUUCUCACAACUUGUUACUACACUUUCUGGAUGGCCUGAUCUAAUAUUUUUUUUGGAUUUCUGUCUUCGAAGUACUUGACAAAUUUAUUGUAUAGAUAAAUAUGUUGUAGAAAAUGGCAUAGCCGAAUUGCUUGAUAUGUUUAUGCAAUUAAGCUGCUAGGAUAACUUCUGUAUAGUACUUCCUGUAAGAAAAGCACAAUCAUUCUAUCAACUAUACUAAUGAAAAAUGCAUAUAAUGUACCAUGAAAAUGGGAACAGAAUGUUCAAUUACUUUUGUUAAAGUACCGAUCUUCUGUGGUUCCAGCAUACUACAGCAGAUUGAUGAUUAAAGAGUAUUAGUGUUGAUAUAGUCCUCUUGGUUUAAGAUGAAUUAUUUUGUUUCUUUAAUCUAGGAAGCUGCAAAUCCUUUUUGACUUCUGUGAUGUGGUUACCACUACAACACACAAGUAUUGUAAGUACUUCCAAGCCAUUCCGGUAAUUGUGUGAUCCAUGCCUUUCACAAGUUGCAUUCACCAACGGACAUGCCUCAUUCCAGUAAUAUGCGGCAGAAAUAAUCUGUUAUUCAAAUGUUUACUGAACUGCUCAUGCUUACACUAAACAUUUUAUAUUUAAAAAAAUGUCAUUUGUUUUGAUUUUUCAUGACUUAGUAGGGUUCAAUUUUCCAUUUGCCACCAAUAUUCUCAUGAGUUGUAUGGCUGAUACUUCAAUCAAGACCAAUUUCCCUUUCUACUUUUUUGUUGAAUGGAUAGUCUAGCUAUUUGAAGGUAUCAGUACAUAAAUUAAUUUCUAAAAUAAUUCCAAUUAGUAUUUUCUGGCAAGCAUGCACAUUAAAGUUUCACUGUCUGCAAUACAUUAUUUUUGUUGUUAUACCGCUUGGACAACCUGUAUGACUACCCAAAUUAUUCUUUGUAUACUAACUCAUAAGAUUAUCUAGCCACCCUACCAAAAUGGUUGUCUUCAUCAAAAUCUGAUUUUCCUUGUUCCUUUCUAUAUCUCAGAAUUAGUAUUGUUUUUAUUUUUGUCGAUCACCUGCCUAUUUUUAUGGAGAGGUUUGUUAUUGACCUAGGUCCAAAUGUUUCACUAUCUGUUUAUUUUCCUUGGUGCUGGGAUACGAUGAUGAGUAUGAUGAUGCCAUUGGUCCACGUGAUGAUCUUGGUGACACUCAGCUAAAUUCAUCUGUUAGCGGGAGAAAACUCGAUGAUGGUGUUCAUGAGAGCGUAGUGAAGUGAAUGUUGCCUUUGAGAGACACAUCAAAGCAAGUGGAAAUAUUAGUCCAAUUCGAUCCUAGAUGUCACACAUUGCAUGUAUGAAUCAUGGUGGAUUCUAAGAUAUGUUAUUUUGCUAUUUCACUAUAACAUAUAUGUACAUGCUAUUUAAGAUAGCCGAAAGAGGAAAUGAGAAACCUAUCGUAUUUGUUUC
Triticum aestivum (bread wheat) is the source of this 4048-nucleotide long non-coding RNA. RefSeq lists it as uncharacterized. Lineage: Eukaryota; Viridiplantae; Streptophyta; Magnoliopsida; Poales; Poaceae. The transcript is spliced from 2 exons. The record is from RefSeq and is a predicted model, not a curated record.